Molecule: ribosomal RNA, 253 nt
Filed under: uncultured bacterium
Lineage: Bacteria
Description: partial 16S ribosomal RNA
Rfam family: Bacterial small subunit ribosomal RNA
Source: RNAcentral
UACGUAGGGGGCAAGCGUUAUCCGGAUUUACUGGGUGUAAAGGGAGCGUAGACGGUGAGACAAGUCUGAAGUGAAAGCCCGGGGCUCAACCCCGGGACUGCUUUGGAAACUGCCUGACCGGAGUGCUGGAGAGGCAAGCGGAAUUCCUAGUGUAGCGGUGAAAUGCGUAGAUAUUAGGAAGAACACCAGUGGCGAAGGCGGCUUGCUGGACAGUAACUGACGUUGAGGCUCGAAAGCGUGGGGAGCAAACAGG